Molecule: ribosomal RNA, 750 nt
Filed under: uncultured bacterium
Lineage: Bacteria
Description: bacterial SSU rRNA
Rfam family: Bacterial small subunit ribosomal RNA
Source: RNAcentral
GUCGAACGGGAUAGAACUUAGCAAUAGGUUCUUGAGAGUGGCGCACGGGUACGUAACACGUAUGCAACCUACCUUUAACUGGGGGAUAGCCUCUCGAAAGAGAGAUUAAUACCCCAUAGUAUGAUUAGAGAGCAUUUUCUGAUUAUUAAAGAUUUAUCGGUUAAAGAUGGGCAUGCGGCUGAUUAGGUAGUUGGUGAGGUAAUGGCUCACCAAGCCAACGAUCAGUAGGGGGUCUGAGAGGAUGUCCCCCCACACUGGUACUGAGACACGGACCAGACUCCUACGGGAGGCAGCAGUAGGGAAUAUUGGACAAUGGGGGCAACCCUGAUCCAGCCAUUCCGCGUGCAGGAAUAAGGCCCUAUGGGUCGUAAACUGCUUUUGUAUGGGAAAAAAUCAUCUUACGUGUAGGGUGUUGAUGGUACCAUGAGAAUAAGGAUCGGCUAACUUCGUGCCAGCAGCCGCGGUAAUACGAAGGAUCCAAGCGUUGUCCGGAUUUACUGGGUUUAAAGGGUGCGUAGGCGGGGAAUUAAGUCAGUGGUGAAAGCUGGUAGCUCAACUAUCAAAUUGCCAUUGAAACUGAUUCUCUCGAGUACGGUUGAGGUAGCUGGAAUGUAACAUGUAGCGGUGAAAUGCUUAGAUAUGUUACAGAACACCGAUUGCGAAGGCAGGCUACUAAACCGUAACUGACGCUGAGGCACGAAAGCGUGGGGAUCAAACAGGAUUAGAUACCCUGGUAGUCCACGCUGUAAA